Molecule: ribosomal RNA, 803 nt
Filed under: Ruegeria sp. AD2
Lineage: Bacteria; Pseudomonadati; Pseudomonadota; Alphaproteobacteria; Rhodobacterales; Roseobacteraceae
Description: bacterial SSU rRNA
Rfam family: Bacterial small subunit ribosomal RNA
Source: RNAcentral
AGCGCACCUUCGGGUGAGCGGCGGACGGGUUAGUAACGCGUGGGAACAUACCCUUUGGUACGGAAUAGCCUCUGGAAACGGAGAGUAAUACCGUAUGAGCCCUUCGGGGGAAAGAUUUAUCGCCAAAGGAUUGGCCCGCGUUAGAUUAGGUAGUUGGUGGGGUAAUGGCCUACCAAGCCUACGAUCUAUAGCUGGUUUUAGAGGAUGAUCAGCAACACUGGGACUGAGACACGGCCCAGACUCCUACGGGAGGCAGCAGUGGGGAAUCUUGGACAAUGGGGGCAACCCUGAUCCAGCCAUGCCGCGUGAGUGAUGAAGGCCUUAGGGUCGUAAAGCUCUUUCGCCUGUGAAGAUAAUGACGGUAGCAGGUAAAGAAACCCCGGCUAACUCCGUGCCAGCAGCCGCGGUAAUACGGAGGGGGUUAGCGUUGUUCGGAAUUACUGGGCGUAAAGCGCACGUAGGCGGACUGGAAAGUUGGGGGUGAAAUCCCAGGGCUCAACCCUGGAACUGCCUCCAAAACUAUCAGUCUAGAGUUCGAGAGAGGUGAGUGGAAUUCCGAGUGUAGAGGUGAAAUUCGUAGAUAUUCGGAGGAACACCAGUGGCGAAGGCGGCUCACUGGCUCGAUACUGACGCUGAGGUGCGAAAGUGUGGGGAGCAAACAGGAUUAGAUACCCUGGUAGUCCACACCGUAAACGAUGAAUGCCAGUCGUCGGGUAGCAUGCUAUUCGGUGACACACCUAACGGAUUAAGCAUUCCGCCUGGGGAGUACGGUCCGCAAGAUUAAACUCAAAGGAAUUGACGGG